UAUUAAAAAUUCCAUCUAUUUUUACUGUUAAAAACUGAUGUUGUUGACAUACCACAUAUACCUAAUGUAAACGUACAAGGAUCAGUUUUUAAUAGUGGAAAUGAAUGGAAGUUUUAACA
MicroRNA precursor from Gossypium raimondii (Peruvian cotton), 119 nucleotides. It matches the Rfam family "MIR7502 microRNA precursor family". NCBI's taxonomy places the organism in Eukaryota, Viridiplantae, Streptophyta, Magnoliopsida, Malvales, Malvaceae. The record is from Rfam.